GGAGGAGUUUUCGGAUGGAAUCCGGGAUGACUUAGUGGCGGACGGGUGAGUAACGCGUGGGUAACCUGCCCUGUACAGGGGGACAACAGUUAGAAAUGACUGCUAAUACCGCAUAAGCGCACAGGAUCGCAUGGUCCGGUGUGAAAAACUCCGGUGGUACAGGAUGGACCCGCGUCUGAUUAGGUAGUUGGCGGGGUAACGGCCCACCAAGCCGACGAUCAGUAGCCGACCUGAGAGGGUGACCGGCCACAUUGGGACUGAGACACGGCCCAAACUCCUACGGGAGGCAGCAGUGGGGAAUAUUGCACAAUGGGGGGAACCCUGAUGCAGCGACGCCGCGUGAGUGAAGAAGUAUUUCGGUAUGUAAAGCUCUAUCAGCAGGGAAGAAAAUGACGGUACCUGACUAAGAAGCCCCGGCUAACUACGUGCCAGCAGCCGCGGUAAUACGUAGGGGGCAAGCGUUAUCCGGAUUUACUGGGUGUAAAGGGAGCGUAGACGGCAGAGCAAGUCUGAAGUGAAAGCCCGCGGCCCAACUGCGGGACUGCUUUGGAAACUGCCCGGCUAGAGUGCUGGAGAGGUAAGCGGAAUUCCUAGUGUAGCGGUGAAAUGCGUAGAUAUUAGGAGGAACACCAGUGGCGAAGGCGGCUUACUGGACAGUAACUGACGUUGAGGCUCGAAAGCGUGGGGAGCAA
This 692-nucleotide ribosomal RNA is filed under the name uncultured bacterium. RNAcentral's name for it is "bacterial SSU rRNA". It matches the Rfam family "Bacterial small subunit ribosomal RNA", at positions 64 to 771 of the family's 1533-position model. The record is from RNAcentral.